This 347-nucleotide ribosomal RNA is filed under the name uncultured bacterium. RNAcentral describes it as "partial 16S ribosomal RNA". It matches the Rfam family "Bacterial small subunit ribosomal RNA", at positions 355 to 719 of the family's 1533-position model. The record is from RNAcentral.
UGGGGAAUAUUGGACAAUGGGCGCAAGCCUGAUCCAGCCAUGCCGCGUGAGUGAUGAAGGUCUUAGGAUUGUAAAGCUCUUUCACCGGUGAAGAUAAUGACGGUAACCGGAGAAGAAGCCCCGGCUAACUUCGUGCCAGCAGCCGCGGUAAUACGAAGGGGGCUAGCGUUGUUCGGAAUUACUGGGCGUAAAGCGCACGUAGGCGGAUAUUUAAGUCAGGGGUGAAAUCCCAGAGCUCAACUCUGGAACUGCCUUUGAUACUGGGUAUCUUGAGUAUGGAAGAGGUGAGUGGAAUUCCGAGUGUAGAGGUGAAAUUCGUAGAUAUUCGGAGGAACACCAGUGGCGAA